Molecule: ribosomal RNA, 502 nt
Filed under: uncultured bacterium
Lineage: Bacteria
Description: partial 16S ribosomal RNA
Rfam family: Bacterial small subunit ribosomal RNA
Source: RNAcentral
AACGAACGCUGGCGGCGUGCCUUACACAUGCAAGUCGAACGGCAGCACGGGAGCUUGCUCCUGGUGGCGAGUGGCGAACGGGUGAGUAAUGCAUCGGAACGUACCCGGAAGUGGGGGAUAACGUAGCGAAAGUUACGCUAAUACCGCAUAUUCUGUGAGCAGGAAAGAGGGGGAUCGCAAGACCUCUCGCUUUCGGAGCGGCCGAUGUCGGAUUAGCUAGUUGGUGGGGUAAAGGCCUACCAAGGCGACGAUCCGUAGCGGGUCUGAGAGGAUGAUCCGCCACACUGGAACUGAGACACGGUCCAGACUCCUACGGGAGGCAGCAGUGGGGAAUUUUGGACAAUGGGCGAAAGCCUGAUCCAGCCAUGCCGCGUGAGUGAAGAAGGCCUUCGGGUUGUAAAGCUCUUUCGGCUGAAAAGAAAUCGCACAGGCUAAUACCCUGUGUGGAUGACGGUAUCAGCAUAAGAAGCACCGGCUAACUACGUGCCAGCAGCCGCCGCAG